This 1347-nucleotide ribosomal RNA is filed under the name uncultured bacterium. RNAcentral describes it as "bacterial SSU rRNA". It matches the Rfam family "Bacterial small subunit ribosomal RNA", at positions 28 to 1381 of the family's 1533-position model. The record is from RNAcentral.
GACGAACGCUGGCGGCGUGCUUAACACAUGCAAGUCGAACGGAAAGGCCCUGCUUUUGUGGGGUGCUCGAGUGGCGAACGGGUGAGUAACACGUGAGUAACCUGCCCUUGACUUUGGGAUAACUUCAGGAAACUGGGGCUAAUACCGGAUAGGAGCUCCUGCUGCAUGGUGGGGGUUGGAAAGUUUCGGCGGUUGGGGAUGGACUCGCGGCUUAUCAGCUUGUUGGUGGGGUAGUGGCUUACCAAGGCUUUGACGGGUAGCCGGCCUGAGAGGGUGACCGGCCACAUUGGGACUGAGAUACGGCCCAGACUCCUACGGGAGGCAGCAGUGGGGAAUAUUGCACAAUGGGCGGAAGCCUGAUGCAUCAACGCCGCGUGCGGGAUGACGGCCUUCGGGUUGUAAACCGCUUUCGCCUGUGACGAAGCGUGAGUGACGGUAAUGGGUAAAGAAGCACCGGCUAACUACGUGCCACCACCCCCGGUGAUACGUAGGGUGCGAGCUUGUCCCGAUUUUAUUGGGCGUAAAGGGCUCGAAGGUGGUUGAUUCGCUUCGAAAGUGUAAUCUUGGGGCUUAACCCUGAUCGUGCUUUCGAUACGGGUUGACUUGAGGAAGGUAGGGGAGAAUGGAAUUCCUGGUGGAGCGGUGGAAUGCGCAGAUAUCAGGAGGAACACCAGUGGCGAAGGCGGUUCUCUGGGCCUUUCCUGACGCUGAGGAGCGAAAGCGUGGGGAGCGAACAGGCUUAGAUACCCUGGUAGUCCACGCUGUAAACGGUGGGUACUAGGUGUGGGGUCCAUUCCACGGGUUCCGUGCCGUAGCUAACGCUUUAAGUACCCCGCCUGGGGAGUACGGCCGCAAGGCUAAAACUCAAAGGAAUUGACGGGGCCCCGCACAAGCGGCGGAGCAUGCGGAUUAAUUCGAUGCAACGCGUAGAACCUUACCUGGGUUUGACAUGGAUCGGGAGUGCUCAGAGAUGGGUGUGCCUCUUUUGGGGUCGGUUCACAGGUGGUGCAUGCCUGUCGUCAGCUCGUGUCGUGAGAUGUUGGGUUAAGUCCCGCAACGAGCGCAACCCUUGUUCACUGUUGCCAGCACGUUAUGGUGGGGACUCAGUGGAGACCGCCGGGGUCAACUCGGAGGAAGGUGGGGAUGACGUCAAGUCAUCAUGCCCCUUAUGUCCAGGGCUUCACGCAUGCUACAAUGGCUGGUACAGAGAGUGGCGAGCCUGUGAGGGUGAGCGAAUCUCGGAAAGCCGGUCUCAGUUCGGAUUGGGGUCUGCAACUCGACCUCAUGAAGUCGGAGUCGCUAGUAAUCGCAGAUCAGCAACGCUGCGGUGAAUACGUUCCCGGGGCU